Molecule: long non-coding RNA, 5111 nt
Filed under: Sus scrofa (pig)
Lineage: Eukaryota; Metazoa; Chordata; Mammalia; Artiodactyla; Suidae
Description: lncRNA (ENSSSCG00000063126.1)
Source: RNAcentral
UUUUUUUUUUUUUUUUUUUUUUAGGGCUGCACCCGCAGCCUAUGGAGGUUUCCAGCCAAGGGGUUGAAUUGGAGCUGUAGUCACCAGCCACAGCCACAGCCACAGCAAUGCCAGAUCUGAGCUGCAUCUGCAACCUACACCACAGCUCAUGGCAAUGCUGGAUCCUUAACCCACGGAGUGAUGCCAGGGAUCAAACCUGCAUGCUCAUGGAUGCUAGUCAGAUUCGUUUCUGCUGCGCCGUGACGGGAACUCCAGAUCCAUAUAACUUUAAAGAUUUAAAACUUCUUAAACUUCACUGUUUUCCUGGGUAAAAAGAAAAGGGUCGUUGUUAGAACAAACACUAUCACGUGUUCACAUGUACCAAGCAUUUUAUGUGUUUGAUCUCGUUCAAGUCCCUUGAUGACCUGAUGGGACUUGCUGGGUAUUUUCAGUUCUCUUUUUCAGACCCACUCUCUACUCUCAUGCACGCUGCUCUGUGCCCCAAGAGGCUGAGUUCUAGACACACCAUCUGUGGGCAGCCUUGGGUUCUGCAAAGGACGGGAGGAGAGAAGAGUGAGCUCAGCCAUCGCCCUUGCCCCCCAGGGUUACCUUGUUGGCUGAUCCCUCCAUCAGUUCACAGCCAUCACCAAGGAGUAUCGCUCUUCUGAGAUCUUGCUCUCCAGUCCUGGAUGAGGGGCCCCACUCUUUUCAGCCCUAGCGUACAACACUACCCCCAAUAUUUGCCUACACUUGGUCCGCUUCCUUAUGACUCCUCCCUUUAUUAAAUUCUCCUUUCCUUACCUGGUUGGAGUGUGCAGUCUGUUCCUGCCAGAACCUGGCUGAGACAGAAGCAGUUACUAACACGAUCCCCAUGUUACAGGGAAGGAAACUGAAGCAUAGAGAGGCUGAGGGACGAAGGCCAAGAGGCCACACCCAGUGAGAAGUAGGAUAGGGAUUCAGAUCCAGCUGUGUCUGAUCUCGGAGCCUCAGGGUUAAUGACUGCCCCUCAGCGCUUCUGGAAGGACUUUAUUGGGUCGACAGUCUCUGACAAAGGCACCCCUAACUCCAGGUCCUGAGCACUGCUCUUGAAGCCUAACCCAGCCCCCAUUCCUGCCUCCUCAGAGGGAGCGUGUAAAGCUCCAUCUGCUUUCUCUCUCCAUCAUCCUUUGGGACCAAAGUCAGGUGCAUGGAGGCAGACAGCCUGGUCCAGGAUGCAGACUGCACCGCAGCUCGAAGAAACCCCUGGAGGAGUGACUGAGUCUGGCUUCCUUGGCACUGUGUACCCUCAUCCGAGGGGCAGGACAUGGAUGGGAUGGAUCAUGGGGCGCAGGAGCUUCAGAGCUGCUCACCUCAUCCUGGGGUCCUUUCUGGGAGCACAGGUGUCCUUCCAGGAGCUCCAGAAGGUGGCUCAACCCCUUUCCUCUCUGUUCUUCAGGGCUGGGUUGUAGAAAAUGCAGGUGCCUGCGUGGGAGAGGAUGCUUGGCCCUUGCCUGGUUUCAUGCAUUUCCCUCGUGUGCUCUUUCUUGAAGAUGCUUAGACACCAGCAGGGGCAGCUGAGUUGGUUUACAGAAUAAGUUGUCAUACUGUUUAAAGAGCCAGAGGAUGAGCUAAGUGCUCCUACUUCAAGAGCACAGAGGUCAGUGCUCACAAAAGCCAUCGCAUUUUUCCCAUCCCCCUUUCAGAACACAGAGGAAAGUCAGGGCCAAGAGCAGAAAUGUGCUGGGAAACUGGCAAUGCUGGGAAGACCGCUGGGAAAUGAACAAAGGACACUAGCUAUCAUUUUGAGAGUGUGAUACGUACCAGGCAGUGUGCUGAGGGACAACACGUAUUAUCUCAUUUAAUCUUUUUUUUUUUCCUUCUUUUUCUUUUAAGGGCCGCACCUGCAGCAUAUGGAAGUUCCUGAGCCAUAAGGGGAACUCAUGUCAUUUAAUCUUUACAGCUCUAUGAGGGUGAGCGAAUUAUCCCCGUUCUACCAAUGAGGAAGCUGAGGAUCCAUAAGAGAAAGUACACUAUCUCCAGAUCGACCUUUCUAAUAAGGAGCAGCGCUGGAAGCGAAAGCCAACUCCGUCUUCAGACCUUUGAACUUUAGCUGAUUAUUCAAAACUCUGGGUUAGACGCCUGGCAUAUAUAAUCUGUUAAUCCGAUCCUGUGGGUAUGGUGCAGCCGCACGAACAUCCCACCGUACCUAUAACCUCACCACCCACGUAAUUUCUCCCCCCUCCCCAGGGGGCCUCCUCACCCCGUCCCCCCUUUUCUGAGGUUGCUUUCUUGCCAGUUUCCUCUUCUCCUCAUUGUGAAAUGGUUUUCUCUCUGUUGCUGCCUGUCCCAGCCCUUAGGCGAGAGGCCCUGGAAUUGAUUCGCUAGUGUUUGCCCUGACCUGUCUGUCGCAUCUCACACUCACGCCGGGGGAUGCUUUGCCUCUCCGCUUUAUUAAUCAUUGCAAUUUGACGUGGUGUGUGUUUUAUGGUCUCUACUUCCGCCCCUACUUUGCCCCCAUUCAAUUCUGUUUACCUUUUAAAGCAGCACUGGAAAGGAAAAUCUAUUUCUCCUGCCAGAUGGUUAAAAAAAGAAAAGCAAAGGCUUUCGACACGCGCAUGCGCGCGCCCGCGCGCUCGCAUUUCUGCCUCCAGUUUUCCGCUCUAACACACAGAUGAGUAGGCGAGGUGAGCAAACCCCAGCUCCUUGCUUUUGCUCAUGAGCAGUAGAUAGAUUGUCCUAGAUCCUGUCCCCAAAGCAAAGCAUCACACACUUGAACGUGCAUAUACACAGCACCCGGGCCUCAUGUGAAGAUGCAGAUUCUGAUUCCAUAGGUCCUGAGUGGAAUCUGAGAUUCUGGGUUUCUUGCCAAGAGGGUAGCAAGGUGAUACUUGACAUCAGGCCCCAGAGUUUCCCCGCCCUCUUUCUUCCACGCCUCCGUUUCCGUCCCUGAUGUCUUUCCAUCAUUCCAGGAAUGCCCUGGCCUCGGAAGCUCCCGUGGGCUCCCUGGCCAUGCCACAUCUCCCUCGGAUGCUGUGCCCAGCUCAGGGCCAUCGCCUUUUAUGGCUGUGGGCCUCUCUGGUUUAGGUUGGAGUCUCCCUGCUAAGCCCUUCCCAGGAUAACUGUUAGCUGUCCCUGGCUGGGAGACAAAAGAAAUGCAUUUUGCUGGAGCCAGUUUUUCCCUCGAACACUAAUGGUACCUUUAUCUCGGGGUAAUUAAAGCUCUGACUGAUGAAUGCAUAAUUACGCCUAAGCCGGACUAAAAUGAUCACCUUGGUUUUUCAUCUUUUAGCUUUUACUUCAUUUGGAGAGGUAACAGUCUCGGGCGUGCUUUAGAGAAUAGCUAUUUGGAGGUGUCUGGGUUGGGUGGCGUCCUCUGGGGGACCCGGCACCCCCACACAUCCUGUGGUGUGUGAAGGCCAGAGCUGUCUCUGUCUCCGUGAAAUAGUGGCUUUGGGUGGCUGAAGGGGCCUUGGGGAAGGCAUAAAAUUUGUUGGGAUUUGCCAGGCUGGAGGUGCAAGCUCUGGCCCAUGGGUCUGGUCCAAUUCUGCCUCUGGACGAAAGGGGAGACGGGGCUUGCCUGUCUCUGGUACCUGGGGCAUUGACCUCCCCUUGACCCUCCCUGUUUGAGAACAGGCUCAUUCUUCAUUCUGGCUGCCCUUGACCGUAGCUAUGCCAGUAUCACUGUCCUCCUGUGGGCGUCCCACCCCUGGGUCAGGGCUGACUCGACUGCUCUCCUCCUGGGAAGACGCCCAGGGGAGCGAGGCGAGUGGUGGGUAAAUGUCCAGAUCUUCAAACACCUGAGUCAAAGGAUGCCCAUAGAGUGAUGGCAGACCAUGGAUUCUAGCCACCAAAUGAACCCGCACGCCCCUCUCCCUCACGCGAGCUCGGCCACCGAGGACAAUUUGCUAAACUCUUCUGACUCUCAAGUGUGAGAUGGAGAAGAUGAUGGUAUCAACAUCACAGGAUGGACUCAUAGAAAUGAAGUAUGCUUUGGCUUAGCACACGGGCUGGCUAUUGCUUUCCGGAUCCCUAUACCCGUGUGUGCUCCUUGGGUACCAUAGACCAAUAGGAAUUGUUUGAGUCACCACCUCGGAGGGUUCUCUUCCUCCUUAAAACAUCCUCAAAUACUCUUGCACCUCAGUGGGAUCCCAAGGGACAGGUGCAAUGGGCUGUUUCUUUAAGUGGUUGGUAUGGGUUUGCAAUGAGUUCUCGCCUGAUCUCCGCAAGCACGGGGCUCCUGUGAGGGGCAAUUAGCUGGGUCUAAACAUACAUGAGACAAUGAAAGAAAUCAUCUGAAGGCAUUCAGGAGUUAAGUAGACCCUUGAUGGAUAACUACUACCUGCCAUGAUCUGUGCUGUGUACUUUUCACAGACGUUAAUUUAUCUUUGCCACAAUCUCAUGUGGUAGAUAUUUCUACUUUCCUGGGACACGUGAAGAUACCAAGGCUUAGAGGGGCUCCUCCUAGUUUAUAUCACUGCUAACUAAUCCCUGCUGGGCUCCCCUCUCCCAGUGAAGGCUUUGGCACUACUGUCUUUUGAGCCUGACUUUCUGGCUCCUUUUAUCUUCCUUCCACUCACUCCCAAGUUUCCUAAAUGUGCCUGCCUUCCCCUAGAAGACAUUCAUUUCAAUUCCUAGUGGAACACCAGGCUUCCACUCAGGCAUCUAUUGACACAGCCACUCAAAGGUCAACAAUAACCUGCCUCUCAUUGUGUUGUCCUAGGCAAGGAUCUUUUCUCAGUGGGUCUUCUCUUUCUUUUCUGGCACAUUCCAUUGUUGAUGGGAGCUUUUUCCUUGGGCUCGAAGACACUACAUCAUUACCAGUUCACCUCCUGCCUCCUUGUGCAUCACUGCUCUCUCUGCCGCCCCUUUCUCCAUUGCAUUUUGGUCCAAUUGACAUAUCGGAUUUCUCGAAAACCUCCCAAUGUCAUAAUUUCAGCUCCAUCUUUUUUCCUGACCCUUGUCUAAACUCAUAUUUUCUGACAUUGCCUCUAACAAGCUACAGGCACAGUGGUAACGAACCCAACUAGCAUCCAUGAGGAUGCAGGUUUGAUCCCAGGCCUCGCUCAGUGGGUUAGGGAUCUGGUGUUGCCAUGAGCUGUGGUGCAGGUCACAGAUGCAGCUCAGAUCCCGAGUUCCUGUGGCUGUGGCGUAGG